CAGUCGCCACGGGAACACGUAGGGUGCGAGCGUUAAUCGGAAUUACUGGGCGUAAAGCGUGCGCAGGCGGUUUUGUAAGACAGAGGUGAAAUCCCCGGGCUCAACCUGGGAACUGCCUUUGUGACUGCAAGGCUAGAGUACGGCAGAGGGGGAUGGAAUUCCGCGUGUAGCAGUGAAAUGCGUAGAUAUGCGGAGGAACACCGAUGGCGAAGGCAAUCCCCUGGGCCUGUACUGACGCUCAUGCACGAAAGCGUGGGGAGCAAACAGGAUUAGAUACCCGAGUAGUCCCUGUCUCUUAUAC
RNAcentral lists this ribosomal RNA (301 nucleotides) under uncultured bacterium. Its description in RNAcentral is "partial 16S ribosomal RNA". It matches the Rfam family "Bacterial small subunit ribosomal RNA", at positions 509 to 807 of the family's 1533-position model. The record is from RNAcentral.